AUUGAACGCUGGCGGCAGGCCUAACACAUGCAAGUCGAGCGGAUGAAGGGAGCUUGCUCCUGGAUUCAGCGGCGGACGGGUGAGUAAUGCCUAGGAAUCUGCCUGGUAGUGGGGGAUAACGUCCGGAAACGGGCGCUAAUACCGCAUACGUCCUGAGGGAGAAAGUGGGGGAUCUUCGGACCUCACGCUAUCAGAUGAGCCUAGGUCGGAUUAGCUAGUUGGUGGGGUAAGGGCCUACCAAGGCGACGAUCCGUAACUGGUCUGAGAGGAUGAUCAGUCACACUGGAACUGAGACACGGUCCAGACUCCUACGGGAGGCAGCAGUGGGGAAUAUUGGACAAUGGGCGAAAGCCUGAUCCAGCCAUGCUGCGUGUGUGAAGAAGGUCUUCGGAUUGUAAAGCACUUUAAGUUGGGAGGAAGGGCAGUAAGUUAAUACCUUGCUGUUUUGACGUUACCAACAGAAUAAGCACCGGCUAACUUCGUG
This 484-nucleotide ribosomal RNA is filed under the name uncultured bacterium. Its description in RNAcentral is "partial 16S ribosomal RNA". It matches the Rfam family "Bacterial small subunit ribosomal RNA", at positions 30 to 507 of the family's 1533-position model. The record is from RNAcentral.